RNAcentral lists this ribosomal RNA (451 nucleotides) under uncultured bacterium. RNAcentral's name for it is "bacterial SSU rRNA". It matches the Rfam family "Bacterial small subunit ribosomal RNA", at positions 354 to 796 of the family's 1533-position model. The record is from RNAcentral.
GUGGGGAAUAUUGCGCAAUGGGGGAAACCCUGACGCAGCGACGCCGCGUGAGUGACGAAGGCCUUCGGGUUGUAAAGCUCUGUCAUACGGGAAGAAUAAGGGCAGUGAGAAUAUUGCUGUCCGAUGACGGUACCGUAGAAGGAAGCACCGGCUAACUCCGUGCCAGCAGCCGCGGUAAUACGGAGGGUGCAAGCGUUGUUCGGAAUUACUGGGCGUAAAGGGCGUGUAGGCUGACAUGCAGGUCAGAUGUGAAAUCCCCUGGCUUAACUAGGGAAGUGCAUCUGAAACCGCAUGUCUUGAGUACGACAGAGGUGAGUGGAAUUCCCAGUGUAGAGGUGAAAUUCAUAGAUAUUGGGAAGAACACCAGUGGCGAAGGCGGCUCUCUGGGUCGAUACUGACGCUGAGACGCGAAAGCGUGGGGAGCAAACAGGAUUAGAAACCCCUGUAGUCC